CGUUGAUAGGAUGCAGGUGUAAAGCUGGAGACAGCAAAGCCGAGCAUUACUAAUUGCCCGAAAGCUUUCCUUA
RNAcentral lists this ribosomal RNA (73 nucleotides) under Bacteroides mediterraneensis. Its description in RNAcentral is "partial 23S ribosomal RNA". The record is from RNAcentral. Lineage: Bacteria; Pseudomonadati; Bacteroidota; Bacteroidia; Bacteroidales; Bacteroidaceae.